CAAGCAGUUGGCCUCACAGAGCACUAGGAAGGUCAUUUAAAGUCCCAGCUCACAUGCCAGCUCAGGAGCAGUGCUGUUUCAGAGGCCUUUAUGUCCCCAGGGUUUCCCUGACUUUUCUAGUUUCUUAGAAUCAGUUGUUUGGCAUUCUCUUUUAUUCCAUGAACUAUCCAGUCUCUCUACCCUAAGUCCCUUCUGCUCUGAAGUUUGCUGGGCUGAUGUCCAUCACUCUCAAGAUGAAGAUGUGUCCAGGACUUGGAGCCUAAGCCUUCCAGCACAGCACAUGGCUGCACCAGCCUCAGGACCGGUCAACAGUUUCCAUGACCCUUACUCUGGGUCAAAUACUCCCUUGAGGGCAAAGCUGACUUGUUCAUCUCUCCAACCCAUGCAGUGCUCAACACAGUGGCCUUCACGGAGCUCCAGGCUCAUCAACACAGGCCUCGCCCAAGGUCACUCAGCUGGCACAGGGCGGAGCAGACCCCAGAGUCCACCCUCCUCACGCUGUUCACCACUGGGCUUCCUCUUCCAGUCUUCAACUGCUGAAAAAGGGAGGCUCUUGAGAAGAAAGGACCAUGCAUCUAGGUUUUAAGACAGCCCACUGCCUCCUAUAUUUUGCCUUUGCCUUUAAUAAUUAAAAUUCACACAUCUCAAAAUAUUUUGGGCAAGAGACAAGGCAUGAAAGACAGUAGGGAAUCCUGUUGAAGAACGUGGCUUCUUCAAGGAUCUUCAUGAGUUUGGAUCUGGGCUUAAAUCUUCAUUGUGGACUUACAAUCCUUAUGCUGAGUCUCUUCAUAUGCUUAUUAUUAUGCCAGGGAAAACUACAAAAAGCGCUAAAGCAGUGUCUGACACCGAGUUAACAACAA
Talpa occidentalis (Iberian mole) is the source of this 860-nucleotide long non-coding RNA. RefSeq lists it as uncharacterized. The record is from RefSeq and is a predicted model, not a curated record. The transcript is spliced from 3 exons. NCBI's taxonomy places the organism in Eukaryota, Metazoa, Chordata, Mammalia, Eulipotyphla, Talpidae.